Molecule: ribosomal RNA, 670 nt
Filed under: Escherichia coli
Lineage: Bacteria; Pseudomonadati; Pseudomonadota; Gammaproteobacteria; Enterobacterales; Enterobacteriaceae
Description: partial 23S ribosomal RNA
Rfam family: Bacterial large subunit ribosomal RNA
Source: RNAcentral
UGGUGGGUAGUUUGACUGGGGCGGUCUCCUCCUAAAGAGUAACGGAGGAGCACGAAGGUUGGCUAAUCCUGGUCGGACAUCAGGAGGUUAGUGCAAUGGCAUAAGCCAGCUUGACUGCGAGCGUGACGGCGCGAGCAGGUGCGAAAGCAGGUCAUAGUGAUCCGGUGGUUCUGAAUGGAAGGGCCAUCGCUCAACGGAUAAAAGGUACUCCGGGGAUAACAGGCUGAUACCGCCCAAGAGUUCAUAUCGACGGCGGUGUUUGGCACCUCGAUGUCGGCUCAUCACAUCCUGGGGCUGAAGUAGGUCCCAAGGGUAUGGCUGUUCGCCAUUUAAAGUGGUACGCGAGCUGGGUUUAGAACGUCGUGAGACAGUUCGGUCCCUAUCUGCCGUGGGCGCUGGAGAACUGAGGGGGGCUGCUCCUAGUACGAGAGGACCGGAGUGGACGCAUCACUGGUGUUCGGGUUGUCAUGCCAAUGGCACUGCCCGGUAGCUAAAUGCGGAAGAGAUAAGUGCUGAAAGCAUCUAAGCACGAAACUUGCCCCGAGAUGAGUUCUCCCUGACUCCUUGAGAGUCCUGAAGGAACGUUGAAGACGACGACGUUGAUAGGCCGGGUGUGUAAGCGCAGCGAUGCGUUGAGCUAACCGGUACUAAUGAACCGUGAGGCUUAACC